ACACGCAUGACACACUGCAUAUCAAUAAGCGGAGGAAAAGAAACUAACAAGGAUUCCCUUAGUAACGGCGAGUGAAGCGGGAAGAGCUCAAAUUUGAAAUCUUCAAGGUUUUACCUUGACGAAUUGUAGUUUAAAGAAGUGUUUUCUGUUAGUGAGUAGUGGUAAAAGUUCUUUGGAAUAGGACAUCAUAGAGGGUGAGAAUCCCGUAUUUGAUCCAUUAUUUCCUAACUGUGUGAUACACUUUCAAAGAGUCGGAUUGUUUGGGAAUGCAGUCCAAAAUGGGUGGUAAAUUUCAUCUAAAGCUAAAUAUUGGCGAGAGACCGAUAGCGAACAAGUACCGUGAGGGAAAGAUGAAAAGAACUUUGAAAAGAGAGUUAAACAGUACGUGAAAUUGUCAAAAGGGAAGCGUUUGACACCAGUGUUGUUUUCUCGAAAAUCAAUUAAGAAUGAUUGGAUUUUGUAGGUAGUAUUGACUUUAUCAGGCUUGCUGCACUUUUUUUCCUGAAUCUUUUUAAUGCACUUUUCGGUUAACAAGUCAACAUCAAUUUCUUUUGUUGUAAAAGAGGUCAUUGAGGAAGGUGGCUUUCUUUUCGGAGAAAGUGUUUAUAGCCUUUGGCUUCUGCAAUCGGAGAGAUUGAGGUCUGCAGCGUAGAUCCUUCGGGGUUAGAUGCAUUUGUGCUAAGUUAUAGUUUUUCAUAGACAACAUGUUGACUAUGAUUAAUCAUGUAGCUUACUCGCUUAUGCUAUUUUACCUACGCUUAGGAUGUUGAAGAUGUAGCACAUCAU
This 786-nucleotide ribosomal RNA is filed under the name uncultured Neocallimastigales. RNAcentral describes it as "partial large subunit ribosomal RNA". It matches the Rfam family "Eukaryotic large subunit ribosomal RNA", at positions 23 to 635 of the family's 3401-position model. The record is from RNAcentral. Lineage: Eukaryota; Fungi; Neocallimastigomycota; Neocallimastigomycetes; Neocallimastigales.